AGGACCCUGAGGCAAACAUUGGUCAGCGAGGGGGAAUGAGUGAUAAAGACGUCGCCAAAGUGCGGAACAUGUACUUGUGUCAUGAAGAUGAGCAGUUGACUGAGGAGAAACAGGAAAAAUGCGUAACAAACAUGUUUGAUCAGUUCGUCUCAAUUCUAACAGAUCUCUACCAGGAUAACACUUAGCGGAAGCUUUUACUAAAGAUCAAUAUUUAUAACCUACUAGCAAAGUCUGUGCGCAAGAAAAUGUUAUACUGUUUCUGCCAGACCUUUGUUCAAGAAGAGCAGGACAUACACCGUCAGCGAUGAUGCUCAGCCCUAAGUCUGAGGGUUUCAUGCACUGAUUUUGAUUCAAAGUAUGAAGAAUGAAGAAGGAUCAUAAAAUGAAGAUUUGAUAUUUUCAGUUUUGUAUUUUGCAGAUUUGCAAUUUGAAAGGAAAUAAAUAACUUUUUUGUCAUUCAACCGCCAAAAA
Bemisia tabaci is the source of this 471-nucleotide non-coding RNA. NCBI's taxonomy places the organism in Eukaryota, Metazoa, Arthropoda, Insecta, Hemiptera, Aleyrodidae. The record is from RefSeq and is a predicted model, not a curated record.